Molecule: ribosomal RNA, 765 nt
Filed under: Triticum aestivum (bread wheat)
Lineage: Eukaryota; Viridiplantae; Streptophyta; Magnoliopsida; Poales; Poaceae
Description: partial small subunit ribosomal RNA
Source: RNAcentral
AUGUGUGAAUACACAGGAGAUUUGAAAGACCCUCAGCGUCAUAUCGACAUCCAACUCACUGACGAUGAAGUUACCGAAGCUGUGAAGAAAAUGCUUGAUGAACCGGUGGAGCAAUGCAGCAAAACGGGACUCAUUCCUUUCUAUGCUGCCAACAAACCGCCAAAGGGCGAUGAUCCAUUCUGGAAGAGGAAAACACAAGAUAAACCGGCAAGGGCUCCCCGUAUCAAGUCCAAAGUCACAAAGAAGCCUACAAAAAGGAGAACCGCUGAACCGUUUGAACCAGUCAUUGAUGAGGAUCUGGAUAAUCGGGAUUCAGAGGAUGAUGCGGAGGCUAGCCAUGCUGACGAGGUAACCAUUCUUUCUUCUGAUUCAAAUCCUGUGCCAAUGCCAAAAAUCCGUCGAGCCAUCCAGAAAGUAAAAUUUUCAUGCCCUCUUUCUUAUUUGGAUCCGCACUUUCUUUUGAAGACACAGCAGCAUGAAAGUCGCCGCACAACCCGGCAUAGCGGCCAAGUGGUGACCUCAUCCGGUUUACCGAACUCUCCGGUUCGCAAACGCCGCCAAGAGGGAACUUCCCAUUCAUCAUCCGGCGAGUCAUCAGCCACACAGCUUCCUCCCCUUAAAACUGUCCCUGGAGCCAAAGCUAGAACAAGCAAGAAGGCUAAGUUGAGUAAGCCGUCUGGGGAUGAACCGGCUACUGAACCGGAUAAAAUCCCAGAGGUUGUUGAUCUGGAUGCUGACACGGUCCUUGAUGAUCCGAUGUUUUAA